GAACAUACCAAGGAAUUAAUGGGACCUGUAUGUGGAGAUGCACAGGUGGGCUCUGGGGCUACUUGACCAAGAGUCCACCACUGUGCCAGCUUCUGAACUUGGGCCUUGAGACUCUGACCACUUCUACUUCCCAUCUAUUGGAUGAGCCCCACGAAGAAGCUGACAUGAAACAGUAUCAUGUCCCAGCGAGUUCCCAGCUGAUGGC
RNAcentral lists this long non-coding RNA (205 nucleotides) under Mustela putorius furo (domestic ferret). RNAcentral's name for it is "lncRNA (ENSMPUG00000031525.1)". Lineage: Eukaryota; Metazoa; Chordata; Mammalia; Carnivora; Mustelidae. The record is from RNAcentral.